This 9287-nucleotide long non-coding RNA is filed under the name Musa acuminata (dwarf banana). RNAcentral describes it as "long non-coding RNA (MACU_LNC003548)". The record is from RNAcentral. Lineage: Eukaryota; Viridiplantae; Streptophyta; Magnoliopsida; Zingiberales; Musaceae.
UGGUGGAUGUGGAGGUACUCGAGACCGGACGCGAUGCCCAACGCGAUGCGGUAGCGAGCGAGCCAGUCGAGGUCGCGCUCGCCGUCGCGCGCGCUGUUGAGCACCGCAUCCAGGCUACCGUUCUUCAUAAACUCGUAUAUGAGGAGGUGGCAGUCCGGGCGCGUUACGUGGGCCAACAGCGGCAGCAGAUUGCGGUGGCGGAUAUGGCCGACGGUCUGGAUCUCCGAUCGGAUCUGCCGCAUCCACUUGUCGAGCAGCCGGCUCUCCUCGUCGGAAGUCGGCUCAGCGCUGUCCGGGGUGCGCUUCAUGAUCUUCUUGAUGGCGACGACCAUGGCCGGGCGGUCUGGCUUGCUGGGAUCGGGUGGCAGCUGGGCCUUGUACACCUCGCCGCACCCUCCCCGGCCGAUGACCUCCAGGCCCGCGAGCCCGUCGUCCUUCUCGAGGAAGGCGAGGUCCUCGGCGCGCUUGAUUUGCUUGGGGCUGAAGAUGGAGGGGCCGCCGGGGUUCCUGUACCGCCCGCGGAUGCAGUUCACCACCAGCCGGAACAGCACCGAGAGGACGGCCCCGGAGACGAUCCCCGCGAGCGAGCCGGUGAUGAAACCGACGAUCCAGUUCCUCGCGCUCUGCUUGUGGCUGUGGCUGUGAUGGUGCUCAGACGACGAUCUAUUGGUCGAGGAAUUUGACGGAGCGAGAGCUGGAGUGGUCUUGGUCUCGGCCAAUACGUAUCGCUUCGGGAAGGGACUCCGGCGGUGGGCGGAUCGGUGAGCGGAUUGAGAAGCGAGACGAGAAGGGAGACGGUGAGGGUGGCGAAGGGUCAUGCGGCGGAGGGCAUGGGAGCCAUCGUAGGGAUAGAUGGCAGAGAUGAGAGCAGGGAGGAGGAGGAGGAGGAGGAGGAGUGAUGGGAGGAACGCGGUGGCAGCCAUUGGCGUCGUCUCGGUGGGUUGAUGCCCGGUGGGAUAAAUGGGGAUAGGUGUGUGGAAAACUCGUAUCGGCGGGCCCGCCAAAUGGACGAUUACCGAUGGUGGACCCUACAAAUCGAACGGAUACGAUUCGUGGGAAGACUCGGAGGAUGACAGAGGCAGUCAAAGGCUUAGUAGACCGCAAGACGUAUACAUUCCCAUCGGCUACUCCUCGUGUUACACCAGCUAGCGUCUCGGCUUUCUCAGUGGGACCCACUUAACUCUCGAAUCACUCUUGAGGUGCGCAGGUGGGAACAUUCAUCGAUGGCUCAUGGAACGUUUCGGCGUGCUUGACGGGUCGAAAGGUCCUUCCUGCACAAUGGAUCUCCUCCAAAGCAUUCUUCGAAGACAUGAAAUGGACGGUGGGUGAUGCCAGAGAAAGGAUAAUAAUAUACCGAUCAAUUCAAAUAUCUCAAUAAAAAUAAUCGAUUCAUGUUGUAAAAUAGACAUAUUAAUUCUGCUAAUUAAGUGUUAUGGAUUCCCGAUGAUUAAUUAUGAUUGUGAUUUAUAAGCAACAAGAUGACUGUUUGGAAGAAUCUUAGAAUCUUGAAAGGCAUGAAUAGCCGAAUUAGGCAUCUUGUCGGAACUCGUCUUGUGAUUACACAUACGGACACUCACUCUCGCUGUAGUCUACCAUUUCCUUUCACGAAAACCAUGAAGGUGGGCAAGAAUUCUAUUGGUGGAUCCCUCGAGGAAGAUUUGCUAUGAUUACUUUAUCCUGAUGAGGUGGAUAGCAUUAGGGAGAUUUCACUUAAAGCCAAGAACGAGUUCUAUCAUGCAAAGAUGAAUAGGGACAUUAGGCGCUCAGAUUGGCUGUAUGAACACCUAACUGGGGAUACAUUUUGCAGAUAAACAAGCGAAAUAGCAAAGACGUGUUCACAAAUAAUAAAAUAAUAGAAGUAGAGCGUGUUGUUGCAAUGACAUCGCAUCUUAGAAAUCAUGCAACACAGCCUAAGACUUCGGGUAGACGUGCGUUUGCAGCACUUAAAAGAGCAGUCGCAUUCGAUUGCUACGUCUCGUGUGGCACCGAGGAAUACUACCGUGUGCCGUGGAAGCAACCACGGAGGCUGUUCUUCCCCUCACUUGUCUGAUGUGUUGUCGAUGCUGGAAACAUUUCAUGUAAUCAUUUAUGUUCUUUUUUUUUUUUGCCAACUAUAAGUGAGAAAAUCUUCAAAAUUUAUAGAACUAAAUUUCAAACAGAGCCAAAACAUAUAAAUUUAUAGGAUCAAAAUUUAUGGCCUCAACCAAAAAUAAAGGAACCGAUCUAUCAUCAGCAAAUUAAUGUUUUAUAUAAAUGAAUGUACUAAGUAACUUAACUGAUAAAAAUCAUACCAGAUCAUGACAAGACUAUACCUCAUCAGAACAUGAUAAGAGGGAUCAAAUUCCGCCUUACCCGCUGUCAUAAAAAAAAAAUCCCAGAUAAAAAAUAAAUAUGGAACAGAAGGAAUAUACUAUAUAUAACUUUAAAAUAAAAAAUCAAUAAAACAAAUAUUAUCAGAGCUCAUAUUGACACCAAUAGCAAAUUUAUGUUGACUGUCAAUCCUACAUCCUAAUACAACCAGAACAACAUUAUUACCGAUUUCCAACACACCAGACAUCGAUCGCUGAUCGCUUUAAAGACGACAAAAUCAGCAGAAGAACACAACAAUAUGACAAGGACAUGUUUAUAUUAGUCUUUUAAACUGCCAUGUGCCUGUAUAUCUAUCUAAGAACCAACAACCAUUCAAAUUCUCAUCCACUUGACAUCCCCGAGCAAAUGGUAAGUGGAUGUAAGAAAACCAGAAACAUGGAAUUUGGAGAUCAAGUCCCUGUUCUUCUCCAUUGGCUAAUCCAUGGCGUGAACUAGCCGGAUAUGCCGAGUUUUCCACACGUUGGUGGAAAGAAUGCACACAGUAGACCGAGUCCUUCAACCCUUGACUUGCAAGUCAAGAUUCGUCCCUGCUACCAACAAGUGAAGAGUUCCAGUAACUAAAUCAUAUUGCAACCAGAAAUAGACUACACUGAACAAGAUAGUACAAAGUACAAACAUGCAUUCAUUUAAUCAUUGGACUGGUGAUUCUGGCAAUUGAACAAGUCCUAUUUAGCUAGAAAAUAUAAUAUCUCUGAUGGGUAGUCCUUUUUUUAGGAAAGACACCUCUGCAGAACACAAAAUGCAAGAUGUACCAUUCAGAUAAGCCAACUGAAUUGUUGGUCAGUUCAAAUGACAAACCAAGAGGGAGAAAAAUGUUGACAUCAAUGAGCAGGAUCUGGUUUUAGUAUACCGUGUCCGAUGGAAGACUUGAAAAGCCCUGGCUUCAGAUACUUUUGGCAGAGACAAAGGGACUAAAACUUCUCAAUGGCAUUUAGGUUAACCAGUAGCUCCACUCCUGCCUUCAAAUCAAAUCUUAUAACAGGAAGAGAACUUAUGAUAAACUAGAACAACAAUCACAUGUUAAAAGUAAGUUCAUGCAAGUUUCCUCUCUUUUAUAGCUAAUGAAUUCCUAUUUUCUCAUGUCACAUGAAUUCCAAUUUUCCACUCUUACCAUUAUUGGUCACGGCCACUCUAUAAUUCCUUCCUCAUAGAUGACCCCAAACUUUGAAUUUCAAAGUUUUCCAAAGAUAAGAAAUUGAUCGUACAAAAAGACUAGAACAGUAAAGAAAUAUUAUGAUCAGAAUACUUUUGUUCUUUUUUUUCUUAGCUGAUGCAAGAAGUUAAAGAAUCUCAAAGCAUGCAUACAGAUGAAAACAAGAACCCCAUCGACCUUCACCAUGGCAUGAUAAUUUUCAAUGUCAAUGCCAUCCACAUUGUCACAUACUUGACUAAGAAAAACAAUAUUGAAAAAUGCAGUUUGAUGAAACUAAUAAGUUAAUUUGGAUCCCUCAUUCUGCGAUUUUUGGUAUUUGCAGUCAACUAUGCUUUGUGUCGGAAACUAGAAAAGGAAUAACAUUUAAGAAAAGAGUGCAUGCCUGAAAUCAAAAUCAGGGCAGGAGAUCCUCCAGCCAGCCGCCGUGCUCCCUCCCAGCCUCGUUUUGUCUCUCACAUCCAUUGCCUUUUGUCGAGGAGAGAUCUAAAUCAGAGAAAGCGACAAUAUAUUAGAUCAUGAUAACCUUAUAAUAGUAAAAGAAAUAUAGCAGUUGUUCAAGAUUGAGGACCAUUCAGGGGGUUGCUUGAGAGGCACCGGUGGAGAAUUAUAUCCGAGCCGUGACUCUAGGGCUUUGAGCCCGGACACGAGAUCGUCCACGGAGGUCCAUGGCUCAGGAUCGACCGAAGCGACCACGAGAUAGCUCUGAGGGCACGAAAGCUCCAUACUAAGUAUUAAAAAAGAACUUCUGUAAUAUUUGAUUUAAAAAAUACAAAGAUCGAACUUAUACUUUUCCUUUUAUAAGUUUAUAUAAUACUUAUAAACUAAGGUGAUUUAUGCUUCAAUUUUCUUUUAUUAUUAUCCACACCUUAAGUAGUGCCUAAAAUAUUCUUAGUCUUUCUAAGUUUAAUCUUAAUUCUUUCUAGAUACAUAUACUAGUCGACUCAUUUAAGUUUCACUUAUCCUUAACUUUAUUAUAGUGAAUUUUAAAUGAGCCAAAUUAAGAAGAAACAAAAUUAAGAAUAAAUUAUAUGAGAUAUAAUUCAACUACAUUCAUGUUCAAUAUUCUCGAGUUUAAAAUUUUGUCAGCAUAUUGAAGAUAUAAUCUUGAAUUCCUCAAAUAUUAUCAUACUAAAUUUCAAUUAGUUCUUUCAUUAAUAUAUCAACCAAUAACUUAUAAAAAAAUUUAGAUUAAUCUUUAAAAAAUUUAAUACACUAUAAUAAAGUCUAAAUAUUAUUAGCAAUUAUUAUAAGACUAAGUCUUUUAGACCUUUUUCGAUUAAUUAUUUCAAUUAUUUGUUCCACAGAACUUAGUAAUUAAGUUUAUGAUUCUUUCAAUUAAUCUGAUUAAGGUCUAACACACCUAAUGUAAAUUAUAUACACUCAAACUAUUUAUAAUAAAUUAAUCCAAAAAAAUAUAGGGACAUUUACAAGACUAUAAUGAAGGAAGUACCACUAUAAUAAUAUACUAUUAAUGCUUUGAGUUUUUCAAGUAAUGUUUUACUAUUGAUAACAUCUUUAUUUCACCUUUAAGUGAAAUAUUAACAUAUUUAGUGUUCAUAUAAAAAAAAAUUAUGGAGAACUGAUACCAUCCACAUAUAAUAGUAUUGUUAUCUUUGGGUAAAUAACGAUAAACUGUAAGGAUAUCCAAAACAACAUCAUCCAACUCAUCACAUAAUUAUUCGAAAUAGAUUCUACUUUUGAAUUAUCUAAUUCUCCUGAUUAUAUAUGUCACUGUGAAUAUUAUUUUUAAAAUAUCAUUUAAAACUAAUUCUUUAAUAUAAUUUUAUAAGUUAUUGGUUAGACCAAUUUGAUAAUUACAAGACUAAUACAAUAAUAUAAAAUAUAGUUUAAUAUAUUCUACAAAUAAUAAAAUAUUUAUUGUAAAUUACAUCUCAUAAGCCUAUGAUCCCAAGGAACUUUGACAAUUACCGAUCAAAUAAAACUUAGAGAUAUAAGUUACAAAUAAUAUUCAUCGAAUUUCUUCAAUUUAAUUUAUACUGAAAUAGUUCAAUAAUAAUAAUGACCAUAAUAAUCAUUGAACAUUAAUUAGUAUUAGAAAAAAAAACUCAUAUGAUAACUACAAUCAUGAUGAAACAUAAACUAUACCUUUAUGUGAAAAAUAAAUAUUAUUUCAUAAGUUCUAACAUAUACGUGUGAAUAACCAAAUAAAUAUCCAAGAAUAAUAAUUGAAUUUUUAUUUAUCAAAUGUAAAAUUUUAUUCAUAUUAUAUAAGAAAACUAUAAAAGAAAAUUAUAAUUUAUAUAUUUUUAAAUUUCACAUGAAACCCUUAUAGGGCAAGCUCAAAAUUGGGCUACCCAAAUUAAGCUUAUAGAUUUAGGCUGACCAUUCGCUAAAUUAAGCCUAUCAAAAUUAAAAUUGAUCAAAAUAAAAAAUUAAUCAAAAUUUGAUUUUUCUUAAAUUCGAUCAAAACUUGAUUGAUCGAAUCUAGAUCUAAUCAAGUAGUCAAAAUAUAAUUAUGAUUAAGUUUGAUUAGAAUAAAUUAAAUUAAUUAAUUUUAUAAAUGAGGAUAUAAAUAAAAAAAUUCUAAUUUUUUGAAGGGUAGACCUAUAAUUUUUUACUUUGGAUAUAUCAGGGAAAUUUCUGAUUUCUAGAAAGGUAAAAUUGGAAAGCAUACACAGGGACACGGAUUGAAAUUAUCUUAUUUAUGAGGGGUAAAACUAUCCUUUAGUAAAAAUCCUAACUAUUCCUUUCUAUGAUCACAGCGGGAGGAGCGAUCGUUGCUUGCGUAGGGUGUUGUAGCCAUCAUCCAUGGUUGUUGCGUGAGUCGCGGUCACUGCCACCGUGGGCAUCUAGUUGACGUUGUUCGUGGCCAACAAAUGUUGUUGUAGUGGUGUUGUUGCAGCCGUCUCACGUAGCAGUGCUGCCGUAGCCGCCGCAGGUAGCGACGAUGCUAUUAUUGUAGUCGCACACAGCGCCAUUACGCAACCACUACAACCAUCACGGGCAAUAGUACUGCUACAGCUAUUGCACACAAUGACGCUAUGGAGCCAUUGCCCGCGACUGGGCUAGUGACAACUGGAGGUCGUCGCCCUCAAUAAUAUUGUCACCAAUAGUAAACUGUCAAGCACAAGGAACCUUACAUCAUUCGCAAGCAAGCGAUAUGGUGGACUAGAUAAAAAAGCAGAUUGACAAUAGCGACAAAUUGUUCAUGCAUCGUAAAUUAAAACUGAUUAACAACUUUUGUCGAGCGAAAUGUGCUAACAAAUAGAUUUAAAGUAUUUUAUUUCAUAACCAUGACUCUGAUACCAAUUAUAAGCAUAAAAAACCAUAAUAUCUACUAUUAUAUGAAAAAUUUUAAUACCAAAACUUGAAAUUAAAUAAUAAUAUAUUUAAAUUUAUGAUAUUUAUCUUUCGAUGUCAUUCAAAAAAAUAUUUAUCUGAUCUAUAAGCACAUCAUCGUUGGAUUCAAAAUCUAUAGUGAUGUCAAUCUACAAGGAGAAUUAGAUUCACAUUCUCCUCUCUUUCUAUCCUUCGUAGGAAGAAAUGAUGGAUUCAUAAAUAAAGGGGAGAUGAUAGAAGAUUUAUAAUAUCUCGUUGAUUGAUUUAUGUAACUAAAGAGAUAAAAAAAAUCUAUAAUCUCUCAAUAAUACCAUCGCACAUCAUGUUUAUAAUCUCUAGGAUGUUCUAUAUAUUUAUAGGCGAAAACGAUAAGUAAUUAACAGUCUCUCUCAUCAAGCUAAUCUCCUAAAAAUUCUAUCGUAAUUAGAUUUUUAUUAAUCAAUAAUCGUAAUUAGAAUUCAAUCAUAUUCAUAAUAUAUCUCAGCUAAUUAGAUACGGCUAUAUAAUCUAAGAGAGGAAAGUAAGGAAUAGAAAGGAGAUUGGGAAAUGAACACGAAGAGGAGGAGAAGUAACUCACGAGCUGUCAGGGUGACACCGGAACCUUGGACGGCUCCCACUUCAUCGUUGAGGCGGCCGGCGUCGGAAUGAUCGAUCGAUGCGCAGCGCCGGGCGAGGAGAAAACCCUAAAGAAAGUGAGGAACAAUGAGGCAGGGAGAGAGAGGAGAGGGGAAGAGGAAUUCACGAGCCGACAGAGAUGACACCGGAACCCUUGAACGGCUCCCACUUCAUCUUUGAGGCGAUCGACACUGGAAUGGUCGAUCGCAUGUCGAUCGCUACGCAGCGUCGGCCGAGGGGUGGGGGCAGAGGCGGUACGCGACAAUGCCAAUAACAAUAAUAAUGACAAUAAGAAUAAUGGCGAUUUCCUCCCACAUUUUCGAAUUUUCUGUUUUUUUUUCUUUUCUGGUAACGGUUUUUCAUGGAGACUCCCUUAUUUUCAUAACACCCGUUUCCGUCGUAAACAUUUUUAUUUGAGACUUGAUAUUUACGAUACGAUUCGUGGGAUCUGUGAGUGAUAUUAUUCGCUAUUUAUUUUACACGGAAUGUUAAAAAUAAAUAAAUACCAGUUUGGGUAAUCAUUUGAUUUUUUUUUCAGGUAUGCAUCCUUUAAUUCUACUAUUCAAAAGCUUAUAUAGUUAUCAACUUCACCAUUGGUCCGAGUGUCAUGUUUGAUUGGUCAAUCACAUCAGUUCAAUUUGACUGGUUAUAAUUUUUUUCGAAAUGAAUUACGAUGUUUUACUUUAGUAGCCACUAUAGCGAUUCAAAAUAUGAUAACAAUAUCAAUCUUGAUGUGAAUAAUAUACGCUUGAUAUUAGACCAUAUCUUUAAUAAUGAAUAUAUCAAACCCAAAUAUUCAUAAUUUAAUAUAUUAUCUCAUCGAGAAUGGUUGACUUUGGUCAUCAUUGACUUCCAAAAGUCAAAAAUUCGUUGGGGAGUCGACAACGCGGCUUCAACGAUCAGUUGAACUGUACAGCUCCUUCCUUGACGCUUCUAUCACUGAAGAAAUCUUCGUCCCGCUGCCUGAUUCAAUGAAAAACCACGAAGAAGAAGGAGGACAGCAAUGAGGCUAACCAUUAUUAGGCCUUUCUGCGGCACUUGGAACACUUGUAGCUAUAUAUACAUCAAACUAAAGGUUAAUUCUUGAGGCUAAUGCUUGAUCUGGGCGAGCAUUAGUCGGACCUCCCUGCUAUUAGGCCUCGCUUUGGGGUUAUCGUAAGUGCAGAAGCAUGCAAUCUUCAACACCAGCAGCAUUUGCUCCUCAAACCCAUUGCCCACAAGUGUUCGAUCGAUCGCCACCUCCGGCUCCGCGGACCUCAUCGCGUUCCUCAUCCAAUCCACCAUGCUUAUCUCCUCCGUCGUCCAAUAAAACUCGUCGGUGGGGAACUUGCCGGUGACGAGCACCGCCAGGAUGACCCCGAAGCUGUAGACGUCGCAUCUGUCGGUGAACAGCAGAGUCUGAUGGUAUUCCGGCGCUAUGUACCCGAUGGUUCCCGCCACCCCCGACCUCAUGGAGCCGCUUACCGUGUCCGGGACCACCUUGGCGAGCCCGAAGUCGGAGAUCCGGGGGUUGAGGUCGUCGUCGAGCAGGAUGUUCGCGGGCUUCAGGUCUCUGUGGAUCACCCGCGGGCGGUGCACCACGUGGAGGUACUCGAGGCCGGCAGCGAUGCCGAGGGCUAUGAUGUACCGCGCCGGCCACUCCAGCUUCCUCCUCCCCGCGGACGCGCCUCUGAUCGCGUCAUGCAAGGUCCCGUUCCUCAUGAACUCGUAUAUGAGGAGGUGGCAGUCCCGGCGCGUUACGUGAGCCAACAGCGGCAGCAGAUUGCGGUGGCGGAUAUGGCCCACGGUCUGGAUCUCCGACCGGAUCUGCCGCAUCCACUUGUCGAGCAGCCGGCUCUCCUCGUCAGAG